RNAcentral lists this ribosomal RNA (211 nucleotides) under uncultured bacterium. Its description in RNAcentral is "partial 16S ribosomal RNA". It matches the Rfam family "Bacterial small subunit ribosomal RNA", at positions 316 to 524 of the family's 1533-position model. The record is from RNAcentral.
CCUACGGGAGGCAGCAGCCUACGGGAGGCAGCAGUGGGGAAUAUUGCACAAUGGGCGCAAGCCUGAUGCAGCCAUGCCGCGUGUAUGAAGAAGGCCUUCGGGUUGUAAAGUACUUUCAGCGGGGAGGAAGGCGAUAAGGUUAAUAACCUUGUCGAUUGACGUUACCCGCAGAAGAAGCACCGGCUAACUCCGUGCCAGCAGCCGCGGUAAU